ACCUCCUUCUUGGGACAAUUGUCACUAAAUGAAGCCAAGGAUGAACCUUUGAUGUUUCCCAUUGCUCGGUUUAUUGUAACAUUAGAACCAGUCAAUUAGGGUUUUAUUGCUUUUUGUUUAUGUGUGAGAAUCAAAGUGAUGGCCUAGAACAUACGAGUUACCUUGCCCUCCCUUCCAAUGGCAGAACCUACUCAGCUGCUGUCCUCUGUGGAGGAUGUAUCUGAGAGCUGUGACAGAAGGCAAAACGAUGGAGAGCUGUGAGCAGAGAUUGGAGAGCAUCAGUCAUGACUAAAGCUCGAUCUGGCUGGCCAACAAUAUAGCUAAGUGAAUGAAGAUGCUUGCUGCCAAGCCUGAAACCUUAGUUGGAUUCCUGUAACCCACAUGGUAGAAAGAGAGAACAGAGAACAAAGUCCAACACCUUCACAUACCCUAGGUGAGAAGAGAAGAGUAACUUAUAAAACACAGCAUCCAGAGCUGCUCUUCGGAGUCUCAUGAAGCAUAAAGUGAAAGGAGAUCCGGUGUCUGUCCAUUGCCAUCCGUUGUUUUCUUCAGGCUCCUCAGGACUGCUGACUGCUGCAGCUAGUGACUUUCUGGGUUUCAGCCUUCUGGACAUCUGGGAGCACAGUGGGGAUGAGCCACAGGAGUCCAUCAUGUUGGUGUGUUUGCCCUAUUUAUAGCCUACCUCCUGCUAAAGAGAGGACUGAAAGCACCUCACAAAACAGUAACAAGAAGAGAUAAAAAUAAACAAGUGGAAAAUUCCCGCAA
RNAcentral lists this long non-coding RNA (765 nucleotides) under Mus musculus (house mouse). RNAcentral describes it as "predicted gene, 36146". Lineage: Eukaryota; Metazoa; Chordata; Mammalia; Rodentia; Muridae. The record is from RNAcentral.